GGUUGGUUCCAAACCAUUCAACGCCUCAACGUUUUCUCUCUCCUCUCUCUUCACGUCUCUAUGCGCCUCCAUGGUUCCUCUCCUGCAGAUCUGUUCUGCAAGGAUUCUUUUCUCUUCCAUUACGUCUCGAAUUCGCUUAGGUCUUUUCGAGAUCUACGUUUUCAUGGUGAUUUGAGGGCUGUGAAGAUGUUUUGAGCUGCUGGUUCAUAGCUGGUUUUAUCAGCUCGAGCUCGUCUUCUUCGUGCUUUGGCUCAGAUUUACAGGUUCUGAUUGAUGAUGUUGGAGUUCAUAGCAAGUCCUCGGAGGUUCCAAGACUUGACCGUUUUGAGCCAAAUCCGACGUCGUUUCAGCUGCAGAUCUGGUUCUUCUGGAGUCUAGCGUAUGUUUAUUCGAUAUUCGAAUUGAAUAAUUGUAAUUUGAUGAUCGGGAAGCUGAAAGCUGGGGUGUUUAGGGAUGGUUGGGUUGUGCAACGGAUGUAUAAGAUGUCGGGACGAAAGGAUCAGAGGAAGGGUCUGUGUCCUGGACCGAUCUUUGUCAUCCGACCUUUGCCAUGACAGGUGCGCUUGCAUGGCAGGUCACAAAAAUACCUUAAUAAAAAAACAGAAACGAUUUUUUGGUGUGGAGGGGAGAUUGCAUGGGGUUUUGCCCAGGGUCUCUCCCUCUGUUGUGUGGUGUGUGCUCUGUGUCGUCCUCUCUUUACUCUGUUUUAUUUUUUGUUCUCCUGCUCAUCCAAGCAUGCUAGAUCGUGGACCGCAACGACGACAAAAUCUCAGCCGCCCAAGGUAUCAUCUGCCCGAUUCUAUUUCAAUUGAUAUGCAUCCAUCUAAUUCUAGUACUGAAAUCUGCCACUUGCACAGCCAACUCACGAUCAUUAUUUAAACUGACAUUAAUCUAAUUUGAUCAUGACUAAUUCACAACCCUCAUGUACAAUUAAUUAGUCUUAUGCUUUGAAUUGAUAUUGGAUUAAGCCUUGUUUAUUAUUAUGUAUAAUCCGAUAUAUUUGGUAACCUAAAAUUUAUUAUAGAGAGUAAUGUUUUCUAGAUAAAUGGGUUUCAAGUUUCUGUAACCAUAGAAAAAACAAAAUAUUUUGUAAUUAUGAAGCAUAUGAAUAUGCGGAAUUUUGAAACAGAAAUUUGAACUGGACAUAGUCUUUUGAAUUGUUUGGUAAUUUGGCUAAUCAUAAUAUUUGGGGGAAGUUUCAAUUUGUUUUCAGUAAUCCAUUUUUAUGUGCUAUCAUGUGCUGUAAAACAAGGUCCUAUGCGCGCCCAAAUCUCACAGCCCCACCAUUCAAUUAUUCAAUUCAUCAUGCAAUACUUCGCAAUCCAUACUUACAAGGCCAAAUGCCAAUACAUGUGCACCAAUUCUUGUCUUUAUUUUACUACAGUUCUUGUAUGAGCUGAAAUGAGAUUUUGUGGUGGUUGAGUUUUCGUAUUUAUAAUUUUGUGGGUAUGCACUUCUGAAAUUGUGGUAUAUUCUGGGAUCUCAAGAUUUAUGGAUCCUUUGUAAUAUUGUGUAAUUAUAUUUGCUUUUGGCCGAUAUUGCCUCUAGCAAUGGAUUGUAUUAUAGAUGGUUUGUAGGAGUUUGGCUGCUGGAAGCAAUUUCCUCAAUGAAGCCUGAAUGUUUCUACUCGUUUAUAAACCAAUCAAGACUCUUCUCAGUUACAAGCUGUUGGGUCGCUGGAAAGUUCAAGUUAUGUUAGUCUUCUAUCUCUUUCUGGAAAUCUUGAGGUGAAAAAUGAAUUCAGUUGAGCUUCGCAUUGCCUUUGAUUUUUAAGUUAUUACCAUUAUUCAGCAGUACUUUAUAUAGUUUUGUUCUUAAUUAAUCGAGUUAUUUCAAGGAUUGUUUCAUAUGUUUAUAUUUGUUCGUGUCAGUAUUUUUCUGUCCAUGGACCUUUUAUCUUUUGUUCAAUU
Molecule: long non-coding RNA, 1910 nt
Organism: Prunus mume (Japanese apricot)
Lineage: Eukaryota; Viridiplantae; Streptophyta; Magnoliopsida; Rosales; Rosaceae
Source: RefSeq, a predicted model, not a curated record